AUGGAUCCUACAGAGCCUCGUUGGCGGAUGAAUUCGAGCUUCUCUCCUCCGUCGUGGGGAUGGGACUGCAUGUACUCAUCAGACGGAUUGCCUCAUAGGACUCCUGAUGCUCCACACGAUCAUCCACCUUAUGUGUCAUCACUAUCAUCACAUAGUAAAGGAAGUAGAAGUGCAUUUGGCAGUGACCAGUACCUGAAUCACCACCACUCUGUAUCUGAUGGAGCACUUUCUUAUUUUGGUAGUCCUGUUGACAGCCUUCAGGCUCCACGCUGGACACCCUCUCUGCAAAGAUUUGAUCUUGGCGAGUUCUCUACACCUGGAGGAGGACCGAAGCCUGAAAGUUCCGAUCUCCAAUCCAGCGAGAGACAUUUAACUGCUGUGAGCAGUUUCAGUUCUGCAUCCCCAUUCUCAGAAACAAGUCAGCUGGCAUCUUCUGGUAAACGACCAGCUUCACAUCUACCUCGCAAUCAUCUGGGAAGGCGAUCCUUUAUGUCAACACCAGUCUACCCGCUAGUGUUCCGCAAUCCAGCGUCAGAAGCAGAAGCCUCGGGGGUGGCUGAGGCUAGUAAUGCUGGGCGUACCACACCGAGUGAUGACAGCCUGGCUUCUCCUGUGUGGAGGCGCAGUUUGGCGAGUCCUGAGCUCAAGUUCCAUGACACACUGAGUGAACUUCGGAAGAUGGAGGCUUCUCCUGAGCCGAACACGAGCUCUAGGAGGGAAGGAUUCAGAUGGAGCAGUGCUAGCAGCUAUGAUUUUGGAUAUGAUGGUGAUGCCAUUGACAUUUCAGACCAUAUCAGCAUUGACUCCCAAAGAUCCCCAACAAGUUCAACGAGUUUCCUGAAAUGUGGCUUAUGCGAGAGAUUCCUCAGGCAGAAGUCGCCAUGGAGCUCAAACCGGAUAGUUCGAAAUACCAAUAUGCCAGUAGCAGCAGUCCUCCCAUGCCGACACGUCUUCCACGCAGACUGCCUGGAGGAAAGUACUCCGAAGAGCGAAGCCCAUGAACCACCUUGCCCGCUUUGCACGCGAGCUCCCGACAGUGAAGGAUGUGUAUCAUUCUCGGAGCCUCUUCACGCUGCGCUCAGAUCCGCCCGCAGGAAUCAUGGCAUUCGCUUUUCUUCUGGUGAUGCGGGUGGUAGCAGCAGCAGCGCAAACCCUUCUCGUAGCGACCAUGUGCUGAAGAGAAAUCAGUCUGCGCUGGCGCCAGCGCGCAGCGGCUCGCUGUUCCGGAACCGUUUCAAGAAGCAGUUCCCCUUCAAGGGGAGGCUCGGGAAGGACCUGUUUGGUGGCAGGGUUUUCAGGAAGGUCGGCUCCUCGUCGUCGUCGGGGGGCCAAAAGGACGACCGUCAGCCGCCAGCAGCUAAUAAGCCUGACCGAUCCAUGGAGUAA
Molecule: ribosomal RNA, 1386 nt
Filed under: Triticum aestivum (bread wheat)
Lineage: Eukaryota; Viridiplantae; Streptophyta; Magnoliopsida; Poales; Poaceae
Description: partial small subunit ribosomal RNA
Source: RNAcentral